Molecule: long non-coding RNA, 599 nt
Organism: Amphiprion ocellaris (clown anemonefish)
Lineage: Eukaryota; Metazoa; Chordata; Actinopteri; Pomacentridae
Source: Ensembl
CCCCCCCCCCCUACGCUUGAUACAUAAACAACAUGGCGGCGAGCGGCGCAGAUCUAAAGGUGUAGUGAGAGACAGACAGGAAAUGGGGAGAAGAGUCGGGGGAAGACUUGCAGCAAAAGGCCACCAGCGGGACUCGAACCCGGGACGCUGCGUCAGGGACCAGCCUCUGUACAGGAGUCACCUGCUUAACCCGUUGAGCUAUAUGAACUAAAGAACUACAGACUCUUCACAACCUGCUCAAACUCUUGGUACAGGACCUCACCACACGGGUCAAGAAGGUUUCCUUCUCCUCAUUUCUACUCUGAAGCUCACCUUCUCCUGCUCAAACUGCUGACAAAUGUUUCUGCUGCUCUAAAGUCUGGUCUCCAGAACUUCCUAAAAACUCUCAAAGUCUCUUCUGCUGCAGGUUGCUUUGUAGAACUGUUCCAGAAAACCUCACUAAACCACAUGGAGGGGCCUCAAGAUAGUCGUCCAAAUGAAACUGUACAAAAACCAAACUAGCAAAACCCAAACACUAAAGUCUCCUGCAGCCUACCAGAGAACCUCUGAGAACAGAGAAUCAGGACAGGAACUCUUACCUUCUGGACAACCAACGUUGG